UAUCGUAUGUUGUAUUUUUCAUGCGAGACUGCCGGGCCAACCGGGAGGAAGGUGGGGAUGACGUCAGGUCGNGAUGGCCCUUACGCCUCGGGCCACACACGUCCUACAAUGGCCGGUACAACGCGUUGCCAACCCGCGAGGGGGAGCUAAUCGCACCAAAACCGGUCCAGUUCGGAUUGGAGGCUGCAACUCGCCUCCAUGAAGUCGGAUUUGCUAGUAAACGUGGGUCAGCACACCACGUUGAAUACGUUC
This 252-nucleotide ribosomal RNA is filed under the name uncultured Gammaproteobacteria bacterium. Its description in RNAcentral is "partial 16S small subunit ribosomal RNA". It matches the Rfam family "Bacterial small subunit ribosomal RNA", at positions 1106 to 1373 of the family's 1533-position model. Lineage: Bacteria; Pseudomonadati; Pseudomonadota; Gammaproteobacteria. The record is from RNAcentral.